Long non-coding RNA from Esox lucius (northern pike), 2933 nucleotides. The record is from Ensembl. NCBI's taxonomy places the organism in Eukaryota, Metazoa, Chordata, Actinopteri, Esociformes, Esocidae.
CAUCAAAUGGACAUCCCGCAGACCGCUAGCAAACUACACAAACUAUCCUUAGGGGAUACUGGAAAAUAAAUAAGCCGAAAGGAGGACCUGAGUCCUUGGACCACAUCUGGUGAAUCCUGGCUCUCCCUUGUCCUGUCCACCUGGUUAUGUUGCCAAUCUAGUUUCUGCCUGAUGAUUCCUGAUGUCACUUCCGACAGACCAACUGGUGCGGCGCUGAUCUGGAUUCUGCUUAAAGGCUCUGAAAACAGUCCACCUAAAUCGAGACUCAUCAUACCAGGCAACAUUCUUCCAGUCUUCAACUGUCCAAUUUUGGUCUCGGAGUGAUUCUUUCAUUUCACUUGGAAAGAAGGAGUGGGGAAAUGGAAAGAGUGAGGCCAUAACCGCCAUCCUUUGUGUUCUGUCUAAUUGGCCAGCCAGGGAAAUCAGCCAUUGAAAAGGUGGCACAGAGAAUGGGAAGCUAUCCUGUAUGAGGUAGUGUUUGGGGGAACUUGUCAGGGGGCCGACAUUAACAACAUGCAGAAGAAGCAGCAGCAGCAACCUUGAUGGUCUCCCACAGGAGAGACUUGUCCCGGUAAAGCAAGCAAUACUGACAGUCACCCUCGGCUAAAUGCCUCUUCUAACUGGACAGACAAACAGACUGGACAGACAAACAGAACACAUAUGCAACUUCCCAAAUUCUUCAAUAUCCUGCUAACAACUUGCCGAUUCUGCAUCAUGCAAACGGAACGGAAAACAAGGAAAUUCUUUAUUUAGGAGUAUUGCUCAAUACGUUGGUUGUAGGCUAGGAAUCAAUUUGAAAACGUAACUCUCUAGUGAUUACAAUACAUAUUUUUUGGUUUCAAAUUUUGAACUCAGUUUACUUCUAGUUUGUUUUUAGCUUUGGUGUACAUGUUUCUCAUUGACAAAAAUAGUCAUAAUGUUCUUAGAUUUCUUCCAUAGGGGAUUGUUAUAUCCAUUUCAAACUGGUUCUGUGUUUCAUGUAGGUUUACACCAACUCGCCAUUUUAAUAAUGUUGUUAAUUAUUUAUAGGAUAGGAUGACUUGGCUAAAUAUAAGAAAAUAUAUUUUCUGUAGAGCUAAUUGAUUUAAAAAUAUUGACAAAAAUCACCUUGUCCUGAAGAGAUUUACACAGCUGUGAAAACGGUGAGCUAGGGAACACCAAAAUGAAACAGACUUUUACUGAAGCAUUUUAAAAUUCCAAACAGAAUAAAUGAAUGGUGAAAUGUGAAAAUAACCAGUACUAAAUUUUGCCACUAGGUUUUAUGGGGAUUAUGACAUGUCAGCUAUUUCAGUUGAUUUAGUUUGAAUUUAGGGACUGUUCAAGGCUCAGAAUAAAAUGUUCCCUUUCAUCAAAUCUAAGACAUGACACAAAUGUCAAUGAAAACGCACAUGUGAAUUUCCUUGGAGGUGCGCAACACAUCCCCAACAAGAUCCACACUGCCAUCACCGAGAAAUGUUAUAUUACAUUUUAGAGAAGGUCUAGCUGGCUAACAGCCAUCAGUUGUCCUCAACACAGAAGCAAGGUAAGGUUUCAAUAGAACUACCUACUGUCUUUUAAGUCCAAAUGUCCUAAAGGUUUCAUGAAACACAGAUGCCAAAAUGCUGCUGCUGCUAACAAAUUAACAUUCACCAUUGACAGUUCACCAGUGACACACAGAUGUGAACCAGUAAUAUAUGUGAUAUUCCAGCUUUGAAACAAACCUGACCGCCCUUCAUGGCAUUGUUAUGACUGUUUGAGCUAUAUAAAAAGUUUUUAACUUGCCAAGCUAGCUGUCAAGUGCGCUGACGGACAUUAGCUCAGAUUGAAACCAACACCAAAUGUUUGACAAUUUGCCGCUCAGCUACAUUCCAAUGGCUGCAAUAAACUUUUGCUCAUUGUAUAGCUAGAUAAUAGGGAUGUGCAUCUUUCCUUUUCAAGGAGAUUUGGUAAUGAUCUUAGCAAUUUGGUUUGAUUAGUGGAUUGAUUAGUGGAUCAGUCUCAGCUGUCUGUAGUUGUUUUAUUAAUAACCUAGUGAGGCCAAAAAAAAAUCCUCAAGGACACUAGCAUUCAUGCACUGUGGCAGUUAGUUGAUAAGCCUGCCUAUUUAGGCUUGCACACCACUAGUUCUGUGAUCAUUAACUUUAGUUAACAGACUGGGGGGACCAACGACAAGGUUUGAAAAUGCCUGUCCAGUGAUUAAUGUGCCAACAAGAGAUGUAGUUGAGUCACUAAAAUAAAAGUCCAAGUAAAGCCCCAAGUCUCAUGUGAGUUAAUUUCCUGGCCACCAAUGGUCAAGUCACGAGUCUCUAUGGCCGAAGAUUGAGUUCUGUUGCUCUAGCCCUGGUCAUACUGUUGAAAUUGGAAUAUUUCAUGGCCGGAAGACCUAUUAGGCUGAACCAGAGAGCCCCUCUGAAAGGCCACUGUAAGCCUUUUAAAUUUGUCAUUUUGUAAGAAUCCUCUAUAUCCUUUUCUCAGGUCACCAAAAAUUCAAGUUAAAACACUUGCUUUAAAAAAAAAACACCAGAGGGAAUAUGAUCCUGCUAUCAAAAUGCCCCCCUAGACUAGUUCCCCCCCUAGACAAGACUAGUUCCUAAGACCUUGGUUUAUGCCCCCUCCUCUACCCUUUCAACUAAACCCAGAUUAUAAAUCACAAUAAAUUGUAGGUAUAGUGAUGCAUAAAUCUGCAAUGCUUUAGGCUUGAAAGACUUUAAAAGGUGCAAGUAAGACGCAGCUCUAAUAUACAUGCAAAUAUCUUUGUUUAGUCUCUAUGGAUGAGUUAUAUGACCUUUAAAAUUCAAAGACCUAUAACCAUUUUCUAUGGAAGGGAAUUGAGUCAUAUAUACAAAGCAAGACAUUCACAAUACAUUAAGCUAUUUUCUCUCUGAUAAUGGCAGACCUUUUAUUUUGUCAAUUCUACACAUUCACAGUUAAAUUAAAAUGUUUAGCAAUUACAG